CGGAAAGGAAAGUGUCCUAGGUCUAGACGGUCCACUUCUGUGUCUACACCGGGGACAUUUGCCAGGUGGUUUUAAAUCAGUCCUGCUAACCCGGGUGUGAAGGGUUUCCAUCGUGGCGCGGGCUGUAACGGGCCAUCUCUGCGGCCUUGGCAAGUUGGGCCAUUGGUGUAGUUGGGCCAGAUUUAGAGCCAGGCAGAAAAUGCGCCCCCACCCAGUCCCGUUAGCCAGACAGGUAAGGCUGGUGCCAGGUACCUCAGUACAUGUACCUGAUUGUUAGCCCCAGGGUCCGCCCCACAAAAGCCCCUGCCUAGCCAGGCCAUCCAGUCACCUCUUUGCAACUCCUCAUCCUGACAGGCACAAAGCAUGGUAGGUAUCCCAAAGCCCAGGGCCACCCUGGCUCAUGACACCUGAGUCCUUUCGAAAGACACAAUUUCCCUCUCUCUCUCUCAUAUGUUGGAAACUAUGCCAAAGGAGGGUGGGCGUUCUCUUAGAGAGUGAGGAGACUCUGAACAAAAUAGUGGGAACAAGUUGUUUUAAGCACCUGUGUUCACUGUGCUUUUAAGGGACAGAUACUGAUAACCUCUUAGAUACUGAUAACCUCUUAGCUACAGCUCACGAAAGCUUAUGCUCUAAUAAAUUUGUUAGUCUCUAAGGUGCCACAAGUACUCCUUUUCUUUUUGCAAAUACAGACUAACACAGCUGCUACUCUGAAACCUGUCAUACUGACCUCUGUUACCUGCACUCCGGAAAUUGACUCCAGGGGGAAAUAGCACCUCUGUAUCUGAAAGCAGAUUUUCUCUAUAUAUAUAUGUAAAGUUAAAUUUCACUGCAAAGUGCUUCCCAAGGGAUAUAGCUGAAUUGCUACAUUGUAUAUCAUGCAGGGGUGGUGCAUAGGAAAGCAGAUUUUUGGAUCUAGAUGGAUUAGAGUCCCUGCACCUUUUGAUAAAUAUAGCUCUGUAUAAAUAAAGGUUAAUUACUAUAGUA
Molecule: long non-coding RNA, 984 nt
Organism: Dermochelys coriacea (leatherback sea turtle)
Lineage: Eukaryota; Metazoa; Chordata; Testudines; Dermochelyidae
Exons: 2
Source: RefSeq, a predicted model, not a curated record